AGAGUUUGAUCCUGGCUCAGGAUGAACGCUGGCGGCGUGCCUAACACAUGCAAGUCGAACGGUCGAAAGACAGUGGCGCACGGGUGAGUAACACGUAGCUAACCUGCCCUCGAGAGUGGGAUAACUCCGGGAAACCGGAGCUAAUACCGCAUAAGCUCACGGACUGUAGAGGUCUGCGAGAAAAGGAGCAAUCCGCUUGAGGAGGGGGCUGCGGCCCAUCAGCUAGAUGGUGAGGUAACGGCUUACCAUGGCGACGACGGGUAGGGGGUCUGAGAGGAUGGUCCCCCACACUGGAACUGAGACACGGUCCAGACUCCUACGGGAGGCAGCAGUGAGGAAUAUUGCACAAUGGGGGAAACCCUGAUGCAGCGACGCCGCGUGGGUGAUGAAGGUCUUCGGAUCGUAAAACCCUUUUCUAGGUGACGAGAGAGGACGGUAGCCUAGGAAUAAGCCUCGGCUAACUACGUGCCAGCAGCCGCGGUAAAACGUAGGAGGCGAGCGUUAUCCGGAGUUACUGGGCGUAAAGCGUAUGUAGGCGGUAGGGCAAGUUGCGUGUGAAAGCUCCCGGCUAAACUGGGAGAGGACACGUAAGACUGCUCGGCUAGAGGGUGGUAGAGGGGCGUGGAAUUCCGGGUGUAGCGGUGAAAUGUGUAGAGAUCCGGAGGAACACCAGUGGCGCAACGACGCCCUGGGCCAUACCUGACGCUGAGAUACGAAAGCGUGGGGAGCGAACGGGAUUAGAUACCCUAGUAGUCC
This 756-nucleotide ribosomal RNA is filed under the name uncultured bacterium. RNAcentral's name for it is "bacterial SSU rRNA". It matches the Rfam family "Bacterial small subunit ribosomal RNA", at positions 8 to 796 of the family's 1533-position model. The record is from RNAcentral.